This 76-nucleotide transfer RNA is filed under the name Chloroflexota bacterium. Its description in RNAcentral is "Chloroflexi bacterium (soil metagenome) tRNA-Arg". It matches the Rfam family "tRNA". Rfam says of the family: Transfer RNA (tRNA) molecules are approximately 80 nucleotides in length. Lineage: Bacteria; Bacillati; Chloroflexota. RNAcentral also lists the same sequence under 2 other names. The record is from RNAcentral.
GCGCCCGUAGCUCAGUGGAUAGAGCGGAUGGCUUCGGACCAUCAGGCCGGGGGUUCGAAUCCCUCCGGGCGCGCCA